GAUCAUUACCGAGUUUACAACUCCCAAACCCAUGUGAACAUACCUACUGUUGCUUCGGCGGGAUUGCCCCGGGCGCCUCGUGUGCCCCGGAUCAGGCGCCCGCCUAGGAAACUUAAUUCUUGUUUUAUUUUGGAAUCUUCUGAGUAGUUUUUACAAAUAAAUAAAAACUUUCAACAACGGAUCUCUUGGUUCUGGCAUCGAUGAAGAACGCAGCGAAAUGCGAUAAGUAAUGUGAAUUGCAGAAUUCAGUGAAUCAUCGAAUCUUUGAACGCACAUUGCGCCCGCCAGUAUUCUGGCGGGCAUGCCUGUCUGAGCGUCAUUUCAACCCUCAUGCCCCUAGGGCGUGGUGUUGGGGAUCGGCCAAAGCCCGCGAGGGACGGCCGGCCCCUAAAUCUAGUGGCGGACCCGUCGUGGCCUCCUCUGCGAAGUAGUGAUAUUCCGCAUCGGAGAGCGACGAGCCCC
RNAcentral lists this unclassified non-coding RNA (462 nucleotides) under Clonostachys sp. 5736. Its description in RNAcentral is "sequence contains ITS1, 5.8S rRNA gene and ITS2". The stretch from base 166 to 319 matches the Rfam family "5.8S ribosomal RNA". The record is from RNAcentral. Lineage: Eukaryota; Fungi; Ascomycota; Sordariomycetes; Hypocreales; Bionectriaceae.